GGUGGUGGUCGAGUGGUUUAGGGCGUUGGCUUACGACCUCAGGGGUUCGAGGUUCAAAUCCCCGCCACCACCG
This 73-nucleotide transfer RNA is filed under the name Fasciola gigantica. Its description in RNAcentral is "tRNA-Arg". Lineage: Eukaryota; Metazoa; Platyhelminthes; Trematoda; Plagiorchiida; Fasciolidae. The record is from RNAcentral.